Molecule: ribosomal RNA, 301 nt
Filed under: uncultured bacterium
Lineage: Bacteria
Description: partial 16S ribosomal RNA
Rfam family: Bacterial small subunit ribosomal RNA
Source: RNAcentral
CAGUAGCCGCGGGAAUACGGAGGGUGCAAGCGUUAAUCGGAAUUACUGGGCGUAAAGCGCACGCAGGCGGUUUGUUAAGUCAGAUGUGAAAUCCCCGAGCUUAACUUGGGAACUGUAUUUGAAACUGGCAAGCUAGAGUCUUAUAGAGGGGGGUAGAAUUCCAGGUGUAGCGGUGAAAUGCGUAGAGAUCUGGAGGAAUACCGGUGGCGAAGGCGGCCCCCUGGACAAAGACUGACGCUCAGGUGCGAAAGCGUGGGGAGCAAACAGGAUUAGAUACCCGCGUAGUCCCUGUCUCUUAUAC